This 468-nucleotide ribosomal RNA is filed under the name uncultured bacterium. RNAcentral's name for it is "partial 16S ribosomal RNA". It matches the Rfam family "Bacterial small subunit ribosomal RNA", at positions 28 to 507 of the family's 1533-position model. The record is from RNAcentral.
GACGAACGCUGGCGGCGUGCUUAAUACAUGCAAGUCGAACGGUAAGGCCCUGUUUUUGUGGGGUGCUCGAGUGGCGAAAGGGGGUGUAUCACGCGAGGAACCUGCCCUUUACUUUGGGAUAACUUCAGGAAACUGGGGCUCAUACCGGAUAUGAACUCCUUCAGCAUGGGGUGGGUGGUAAAAUUUCGGCGUUUGGGGAUGGACUCGUGGUUUAUCAGCUUGUUGGUGGGGUAGUGGCUUACCAAGGCUUUGACGGGUAGCCGGCCUGAGAGGGUGACCGGCCACAUUGGGACUGAGAUACGGCCAAGACGCAUACGUGAGGAAGCAGUGGGGGAUAUUGCAAAAUGGGCGGAAGCCUGAUGCAACGACGCCGCGUGCGGGAUGACGGCCUUCGGGUAAUAAACCGCUUUAGCCUGUGACGAAGCGUAAGUGACGGUAAUGGGUAAAGAAGCACCGGCUAACUACGUG